CAAGGAGUUUUCCGCAAUGGGCGAAAGCCUGACGGAGCAACGCCGCGUGUGGGAUGACGCCCUUCGGGGUGUAAACCACUUUUCUUGGGGACGAAGCAGUGACGGUACCCGAGGAAGAAGGCCCGGCUAACUACGUGCCAGCAGCCGCGGUAAUACGUAGGGGCCGAGCGUUGUCCGGAGUUACUGGGCGUAAAGCGCGCGCAGGCGGCUCGUCAAGCCUGACGUGAAAGCCCCCGGCUCAACCGGGGAGGGUCGUCGGGGACUGGCGGGCUUGAGGUCGGCAGGGGUUGGUGGAAUUCCCGGUGUAGUGGUGAAAUGCGUAGAGAUCGGGAGGAACACCCGUGGCGAAGGCGGCCAACUGGGCCGGACCUGACGCUGAGGCGCGAAGGCGUGGGGAGCGAACGGGAUUAGAAACCCGAGUAG
This 423-nucleotide ribosomal RNA is filed under the name uncultured bacterium. RNAcentral describes it as "bacterial SSU rRNA". It matches the Rfam family "Bacterial small subunit ribosomal RNA", at positions 355 to 793 of the family's 1533-position model. The record is from RNAcentral.